GCCGUGCGGGGUCUAUACAUGCAAGUCGAGCGGACCGACGGGAGCUUGCUCCCUUAGGUCAGCGGCGGACGGGUGAGUAACACGUGGGUAACCUGCCUGUAAGACUGGGAUAACUCCGGGAAACCGGGGCUAAUACCGGAUGCUUGAUUGAACCGCAUGGUUCAAUCAUAAAAGGUGGCUUUUAGCUACCACUUACAGAUGGACCCGCGGCGCAUUAGCUAGUUGGUGAGGUAACGGCUCACCAAGGCGACGAUGCGUAGCCGACCUGAGAGGGUGAUCGGCCACACUGGGACUGAGACACGGCCCAGACUCCUACGGGAGGCAGCAGUAGGGAAUCUUCCGCAAUGGACGAAAGUCUGACGGAGCAACGCCGCGUGAGUGAUGAAGGUUUUCGGAUCGUAAAACUCUGUUGUUAGGGAAGAACAAGUACCGUUCGAAUAGGGCGGUACCUUGACGGUACCUAACCAGAAAGCCACGGCUAACUACGUGCCAGCCGCCCGGGGUAAUACCAUAAGAGUUUUGAUCAUGGCUCAGGACGAACGCUGGCGGCGUGCCUAAUACAUGCAAGUCGAGCGGACCGACGGGAGCUUGCUCCCUUAGGUCAGCGGCGGACGGGUGAGUAACACGUGGGUAACCUGCCUGUAAGACUGGGAUAACUCCGGGAAACCGGGGCUAAUACCGGAUGCUUGAUUGAACCGCAUGGUUCAAUCAUAAAAGGUGGCUUUUAGCUACCACUUACAGAUGGACCCGCGGCGCAUUAGCUAGUUGGUGAGGUAACGGCUCACCAAGGCGACGAUGCGUAGCCGACCUGAGAGGGUGAUCGGCCACACUGGGACUGAGACACGGCCCAGACUCCUACGGGAGGCAGCAGUAGGGAAUCUUCCGCAAUGGACGAAAGUCUGACGGAGCAACGCCGCGUGAGUGAUGAAGGUUUUCGGAUCGUAAAACUCUGUUGUUAGGGAAGAACAAGUACCGUUCGAAUAGGGCGGUACCUGACGGUACCUAACCAGAAAGCCAAGGC
Molecule: ribosomal RNA, 1021 nt
Filed under: Bacillus licheniformis
Lineage: Bacteria; Bacillati; Bacillota; Bacilli; Caryophanales; Bacillaceae
Description: bacterial SSU rRNA
Rfam family: Bacterial small subunit ribosomal RNA (bases 507-1021)
Source: RNAcentral